This 305-nucleotide ribosomal RNA is filed under the name uncultured bacterium. Its description in RNAcentral is "partial 16S ribosomal RNA". It matches the Rfam family "Bacterial small subunit ribosomal RNA", at positions 508 to 807 of the family's 1533-position model. The record is from RNAcentral.
ACAGCAGUAGCCGCGGUAAUACGAAGGGUGCAAGCGUUAAUCGGAAUUACUGGGCGUAAAGCGUGCGUAGGCGGUGAGUUAAGUCUGCUGUGAAAUCCCCGGGCUCAACCUGGGAAUGGCAGUGGAUACUGGCUCGCUAGAGUGUGUCAGAGGAUGGUGGAAUUCCCGGUGUAGCGGUGAAAUGCGUAGAGAUCGGGAGGAACAUCAGUGGCGAAGGCGGCCAUCUGGGACAACACUGACGCUGAGGCACGAAAGCGUGGGGAGCAAACAGGAUUAGAUACCCCCGUAGUCCCUGUCUCUUAUAC